This 299-nucleotide long non-coding RNA is filed under the name Solanum tuberosum (potato). RNAcentral describes it as "long non-coding RNA (STUB_LNC011149)". The record is from RNAcentral. Lineage: Eukaryota; Viridiplantae; Streptophyta; Magnoliopsida; Solanales; Solanaceae.
AAAUAUUUUCCUAGCAUAUCUUUCUGCAACUUCAUCACUCUCUCCGUUUCAAUUUGUUUGUUUAGUCCGUUUAAAAAAGAAUGCCUCUUUCCUUCUUUUGGCAACUUCUUAAUUCCAACUUUCCACGCGAUAUGGUCUUAUUGUUUGUUUAGUCCGUUUAAAAAAGAAUGCCUCUUUCCUUCUUUUGGCAACUUCUUAAUUCCAACUUUCCACGCGAUAUGGUCUUAUUGUUUGUUUAGUCCGUUUAAAAAAGAAUGCCUCUUUCCAUUUUUGACAACUUUUUAAUUCCAACUUUCCAC